Molecule: ribosomal RNA, 253 nt
Filed under: uncultured bacterium
Lineage: Bacteria
Description: partial 16S ribosomal RNA
Rfam family: Bacterial small subunit ribosomal RNA
Source: RNAcentral
GACAGAGGUGCCGAGCGUUAGGCGGAAUCACUGGGCUUAAAGCGUGUGUAGGCGGGCGGGCAAGUACCUUGUGAAAUCCCACGGCUCAACCGUGGAACGGCUGGGUAUACUGCCUGUCUUGAGCCAACUAGGGGCGAGCGGAACAGACGGUGGAGCGGUGAAAUGCGUAGAUAUCGUCUGGAACGCCGAAGGUGAAAACAGCUCGCUGGGGUUGUGCUGACGCUGAGAUACGAAAGCCAGGGGAGCGAACGGG